GUCGCUAAUGUAGGGAGGUAAUUGGUGGGGGUGUAUUCCUGGUAUGAUUCCGUAUUCAAUGUUCUGUUCCGUGUUCCGUGUUCUAUGUUUGUUACGAAUCUGUGUGCUUUCCUCUGCUUUAUAUUCCUGCAUUCUUGCUUUACUCUGUUUUAUAUUCCUUAUGGCUGCAGUAUCUAUGUUAUGUCAUCUGCUUCUGUGCUGUACUAUGUGUUUGUUUGAUAUCUCGUAACUUGAGCCGGGCUAUGUGUUUGUGUGAUAUCUUGUGCCUUGAGCCGGGGGUCUUUCGGAAACAGCCUUUCUACUUCAUCAGAGGUAGAGGCAUGGACUGCGUACAUCUUACCCCCCCAGACCCCACUAAGUGGGAAUACACUGGGUGAAUAGAGAGGUUUACAAAGUGGCAAAGAAGGAGGCUAAGUUAGCAGUUACGACUGCUAAGACAACAGCUUUUGAGAGCUUGUAUACGGGGUUAGAGGAGAAAAGCGGGGAAAAGAGGUUGUAUAGGCUUGCUAAGGCUAGGGAGUGGAAGGGGCGUGACCUCGAUCAAGUGAAGUGCAUUAAGGGGGAGGAUGGUAGAGUUUUGGUGGAGGAUGUUCAUAUUAAGAAGAGAUGGCAGGAGUAUUUUCAUAAACUUUUUAAUGAGGAAGGGGACAGAGACAUUGAGUUAAGGGAGCUAGAGCAUUCGAAGGAGAGCCGUGAUUUCAGUUACUGUAUACGUUUUAAGGUGAAGGAGGUCAGAGAGGCUAUUCGUAGGACGAGGAGGGGUAGGGCGACGGGGCCCGACAAGAUUUCAGUGGAUUUUUGAAAGUUUGUGGAUGGGGCAGGCUUAAGGUGGUUGACUGAUUGUUUAAUGAUAUUUUCAAGACUGCGAGAAUGCCUGCGGCCUGGAGAUGGAGUAUGAUGAUUCCGUUAUAUAAAAACAAGGACAUUCAGAGUUGCAACAACUAUAGGGGUAUUAAGUUGAGUCAUACUAUGAAGAUUUGGGAG
This 984-nucleotide long non-coding RNA is filed under the name Capsicum annuum. RNAcentral describes it as "long non-coding RNA (CANN_LNC013930)". The record is from RNAcentral. Lineage: Eukaryota; Viridiplantae; Streptophyta; Magnoliopsida; Solanales; Solanaceae.